CGCUGGCGGCAUGCCUUACACAUGCAAGUCGAACGGCAGCACGGAGCUUGCUCUGGUGGCGAGUGGCGAACGGGUGAGUAAUAUAUCGGAACGUACCCAGGAGUGGGGGAUAACGCAGCGAAAGUUACGCUAAUACCGCAUACGUCCUAAGGGAGAAAGUGGGGGAUCGCAAGACCUCAUGCUCAUGGAGCGGCCGAUAUCUGAUUAGCUAGUUGGUGGGGUAAAGGCCUACCAAGGCAACGAUCAGUAGCUGGUCUGAGAGGACGACCAGCCACACUGGAACUGAGACACGGUCCAGACUCCUACGGGAGGCAGCAGUGGGGAAUUUUGGACAAUGGGGGCAACCCUGAUCCAGCAAUGCCGCGUGAGUGAAGAAGGCCUUCGGGUUGUAAAGCUCUUUUGUCAGGGAAGAAAAGGUCGCAGCUAAUAUCUGUGGCUCAUGACGGUACCUGAAGAAUAAGCACCGGCU
Molecule: ribosomal RNA, 469 nt
Filed under: uncultured bacterium
Lineage: Bacteria
Description: bacterial SSU rRNA
Rfam family: Bacterial small subunit ribosomal RNA
Source: RNAcentral